AAUACUGUUAGCUUUUUAUAAUUUAUGCAAAUGCAUGAAAAGGGUUGUCCUGUGGUACGUAUAAUUCAUAUUCUGCAUAAUUCUUCAUUGCCUAGUUGCCUAAUCUUUAACACCUUCUUCUGAAUUCUAAAUACUACAGGGCUACCCUUUUCAUGUGCUCAAUUUGUAUACAUGAUAUAUGUCCUAGAACACAUGGUGGAUCUGGUCAUCCUGAAAAUAGGGCUUUCCUCAGUUUUUUAUACAUUGAAAUUUGCCUGAUUUAUUUGCUGGGCAUAUGUUAUGAUUAAGACCGUAUGACAGCCCAGGUAUGAAAAUUACACCUAUCAUGACAUACCAUUUGCAAAAGUAGACAACCCAGCAUAUUCAGAAUGGGGUAAGUCCGGUCUUUUUUUUAGUAGUCAGUCACAAAUUAGGCCAAAGUUAAUGUUCAUAUUAGUCUUUCACCAAUUAUAUCAAUGUCAUUAUACGUUUUACUGCUCUAAAACACUCAUAUUUGUGUUCACGGUCACAUGUAGCCCAUGGAUCAGCACAGCUAGGGAAGUGGGCCAUGACAGAGCCAGGUGGUAGGCAUAACAGCCACAGGAAGUCUGGGUGACAGCUAACAUGCUGGGUGGGGCGGAGCCACGAUGGGCGUAUUUAUACUG
Non-coding RNA from Pelobates cultripes (western spadefoot toad), 644 nucleotides. The record is from the annotation of a GenBank genome assembly. Lineage: Eukaryota; Metazoa; Chordata; Amphibia; Anura; Pelobatidae.